This 467-nucleotide ribosomal RNA is filed under the name uncultured bacterium. Its description in RNAcentral is "partial 16S ribosomal RNA". It matches the Rfam family "Bacterial small subunit ribosomal RNA", at positions 28 to 507 of the family's 1533-position model. The record is from RNAcentral.
GACGAACGCUGGCGGCGUGCUUAACACAUGCCAGUCGAACGGAAAGGCCUCUUUCGGGGGGUACUCGAGUGGCGAAUGGGUGAGUAACACGUGAGUAACCUGCCCUUGACUUUGGGAUAACUUCAGGAAACUGGGGCUAAUACCGGAUAGGAGCUCCUGCUGCAUGGUGGGGGUUGGAAAGUUUCGGCGGUUGGGGAUGGACUCGCGGCUUAUCAGCUUGUUGGUGGGGUAGUGGCUUACCAAGGCUUUGACGGGUAGCCGGCCUGAGAGGGUGACCGGCAAAAUUGGGAUGGGGAUAGGGCCCAGACUGCUACGGGGGGCAGCAGGGGGGAAAUUGGCAAAAGGGGGGGGAGCCUGAUGCAGCAACGCCGUGGGCGGGAGGACGGCCUUGGGGUUGGAAACCGCUUUCGCUCAUGACGAAGCUUUGUGUGAGGGUAGGGGGUAAAGAAGCACCGGCUAACUACGUG